This 253-nucleotide ribosomal RNA is filed under the name uncultured bacterium. Its description in RNAcentral is "partial 16S ribosomal RNA". It matches the Rfam family "Bacterial small subunit ribosomal RNA", at positions 524 to 776 of the family's 1533-position model. The record is from RNAcentral.
GACGUAGGGUGCGAGCGUUGUCCGGAUUUAUUGGGCGUAAAGAGCUCGUAGGCGGCUUGUUGCGUCGACUGUGAAGACCCGCGGCUUAACCGCGGGCUUGCAGUUGAUACGGGCAGGCUAGAGUUCGGUAGGGGAGACUGGAAUUCCUGGUGUAGCGGUGAAAUGCGCAGAUAUCAGGAGGAACACCGGUGGCGAAGGCGGGUCUCUGGACAGUUCCUGACACUGAGACACGAAGGCCAGGGGAGCAAACGGG